Molecule: long non-coding RNA, 4142 nt
Filed under: Lactuca sativa (garden lettuce)
Lineage: Eukaryota; Viridiplantae; Streptophyta; Magnoliopsida; Asterales; Asteraceae
Description: long non-coding RNA (LSAT_LNC000662)
Source: RNAcentral
GUGAGUCUUCUCAGUAUACUAUGUAGGAUGGUAGUUGUCUUUAUGACUCUUGCAUGAAUGUUGGGCAGGGCCCAUUUAUGUGUUGGGAAAGGCUCGCUAUGUGAAUUGGGUUGGGCCUAAUACUUGAGAUGGGCAGGUCCCAUGGGUGAUGUGACAACCGUCAAAUUCUGGUCAAUUCAAAGUCAAAUAAAGUCAACAAGUCAAACCGGUCAACUUAAUUUGCCCGUAGGUACUAGAGUUUACGUUAUGUAAUUUCUAAACAACUCUCUAUUCUAAUGAGAGAUCAUAAAUCGAAAAGUGCGUACAUCUAGAUCUCCUUAACCUAAAACUAUGGUAUGUGGCGAGCCAAACCGAUAAAACAAUGUUACAUACUCAUCGGGAGUAUGCAAGAUCCUUAAACAAGGCUUAACAGGGUUUACGGACCUUGCAGUGCGAAGCCGGACACUCAAAAAGGUCACCAAUGAAACCUCUCUCAAUCGUUUUCACUCCAUCUCUUCUUAUCAGAAAUCUCUCCCACAUACCUCUUUGUAUGAGAAAUCUCUCCAAGAAUGUCAAAUCUCUUCCAAAUCUCUCUAAGAAUGUGAAAUCUCUCCCACAUAUCUCUUUGUAUGAGAAAUCUCUCCAAGAAUGUCAAAUCUCUCUAAGAAUAUGAAAUCUCUCCCAAAUAUCUCUCUGUAUGUGAAAUCUCUCCAAGUAUGUCAAAUCUUUCCCAAAUCUCUCUAAGAAUGUGAAAUCUCUCCCGCAUAUCUCUUUGUAUGAGAAAUCUCUCCAAGAAUGUCAAAUCUCUCCCAAAUCUCUCUAAGAAUAUGAAAUCUCUCCCAAAUAUCUCUCUGUAUGUGAAAUCUCUCCAAGUAUGUCAAAUCUCUCCCAAAUCUCUCUAAGAAUGUGAAAUCUCUCCCACAUAUCUCUUUGUAUGAGAAAUCUCUCCAAGAAUGUCAAAUCUCUCCCAAAUCUCUCUAAGAAUGUGAAAUCUCUCCCAAAUAUCUCUUUGUAUGUGAAAUCUCUCCAAGAAUGUCAAAUCUCUCCCAAAUCUCUCUGAGUAUGUGGAAUCUCUCUCAAAUCUCUCUCGAAAUCUCUCCCAACUUUCUAUAAUCACUCGGGGCAUCCCGACCCUCGAAUUUGGCGAAAACAGCCCAAAAACGGAAGUCUACGCGAAAAACAGACUUAAGGAGCCGAAACUCCUUUUAGGAACCGAAACCCCUCUUAGGAACCGAAAGUCCCCUUAGGAACCGAACCCUCCUGAUGAAGAAGGCUGCUGAACCGAACCGAACCUCACUCAAAGAACCGAACCGAACCUCACUCAAAGAACCGAACCGAACCUCACUCAAAGAACCGAACCGAACCUUCGCUUCUGACCCUUCGGACCGAGCCUUCGGACUGAGCCCCUCGCCUUCGCCUUCUUCUUCUGGUUCGCACUUCGCUUCCGGCUCAGCACCAGCAAGGACCGAACCUCGGCCUAGGGACCGAACCUCGGCCUAGGACCGAGAGGUCUCGCUGGGAAGCCUUUUUCUCCCGGUUUUCGACUAAAUUUGCAAUUUAGGCCCGUUUUUAAUUAUUUUAACAAGGGAUUUUCACCCAAAACUUUAUUUUAACGUAUAAGAACCCUUAACUAUUAAUUAAUCACAUUUUUAAGGAUAAAACCUUAUCCAAAAGAGAGUGGGUGAAGUACAAAGGUAGAGUGUUGACUUUACUUAUUUCUAUGACACAAGCAACCACUCCCAUACCCACUCCAUGUCACUAUUCACCACCAGCCCAUCCCUAGUCACUUCAUAGGUCCUUUCUCACUAUUUUCAACUAUUCCCACGUUCUUAGGGCUGGAACAUCCAUCCUCUCUCCUCACACUUUAAUCAUUCUCUCAUUUUUAUCAAGAAUCACACUCCAAACUCUCUCAUCUUUUUCUCUCUAAUUCGAGAAUUUCAAGGCAUACUCCAAGACUCUUCUCCUACAAUUAGUAAGUAUCAUCAUCUUUCUUAUGAUUAUUACACAUCCUCCUACUCAAAAUCAAAGAUUGCUUACACAAACAUCAUCACAUUCUUGUUAGAUCUUCGAAUCUUCAAGUGAUUCUUCAAGUGUUCUUGGGUUGAACACUUCUCUUCUUCAACACUUACCUACUGAAAUCACUCAAGGUGAGUUCAUACCCCUACAUUUUCAUGUUUUCUCAAGUUUUUAGGGGGGGANGGGGGGGGGGAAUACAAGUUAAAACACCAAGAACAUAACUAAACUUUUCUAACAGCCUUCAUCAGAAAAGUUCAAUCCCAUUCACGGACUAUUUUGGACAACUUAAACAUUUUAGUUUUCAAAACUGUUUUAGGUGCAUGUAGUUCCACUUCUUAGCUUUAAAAUGACUACUUGCACAUCUCCAUACGAUUUUUCUACAAUUUAUGGUGAUUUUUACAAAACUGCCUAUCAUUUCAAACAUCAAUCCGGACCAGUCUGUGAUUAUGGACUUUUUCACACAAGUAAGAAGUCAUUAAAAAUUAUAAUAAAAAUUAUGAACAAACUAGACUCAUUUUCCAAACUCUCAGAAGUUACAGAACUUGAUUUGGACAUUUUAUGAUUUUUCUACAAAUUUUCCAAUAACAGUUACAGAAAAUGUUAUUAACAGAAAAACACUAUAAAUUUCAUUUCACCUUGUAACAUGUUGAGCAAGGUAUACAUCAUUAUGUGAUUAUGUGUUGUUGCAAUAUAUGACAAUUUUGUAUUCUUAUAUAGACAUACAUCAGAAAACAAAUGGAUUUUUACCUCCACAAGUAUGGUAAAUAUAUAAAUGAUAUUACAAGGCUAUAUCCAUUAAAAUAUAAACAUUGGUAAAUUAUGACAAGUAAGGCUUAUGCUCACUACCCACACAAAUAAUUAAUAAACUAUAAUAGGUAUAGUUUAGGGUUAUUUUACAUAACAAACACAUGAUUAAAGGUUUUACACAUACAAAAGGGUUAUUACCACUAUGGAUAAUUAUGAUAAACUAUAAUAAGUAUAGUUAAGCCAUUAUACCCCCACAAACGAACACGCUAGUUAUAAUCGGUAUAGUUAUGGCAUAUAUAUAUUACAAACAAAGUGAUAAACUAUAAUAGGUAUAGUUUAUGUUUCAUCUACACUAUGAACUUAAUUACAAGAAAGGAAUUCACCAUCACCACCACUUUUGAUAAGCUAUAAUAUGCAUAGUUCAUGUUCACUACCACUAUCACUAUUUGAUGAACUAUGAUAUGUAUAGGUUAUAUUCCCCAUCACCACCACUUUUGGUAAACUAUAAUAUGCAUAGUUCAUGUUCACUAGUCACUAUCACUAUCCGAUGAACUAUGAUAUGUAUAGUUUAUGUUCACAGUCACUAUUACUAUUUCGUACACUACACUAGGAUUGGUUCCGGUUAUUGAGUUUAAGUCCACAUUCACUUUCGCAUUGUUAGUUUUCAGCUAUAAUUUCUAAGUGUAUAUGGUAGAGUUAUAUAGAAUCUAGUCGUGAUUGGCUUAGAAUUGGUGGGCCCGCCUCAUCUCCUGUUCCUUGUUUGGUUGUGGACCUAGGGCAGACCCAUUAUAUUCAACGUUUUAUCAACUUAAAUCUUAUAUAACUCAUAUACGCUGGACGAUUAUAGGAGAAGUCUACGGGUCAUUCUAGGGUUCAUUAAUGUACCAUAUAGGAAUAUUCUAUUCACACUUAACUAAGAAAAUAUUGGAUUUUCUGGAAAUCAACUCUAUCGAUUUUAUAAGGAAAACGGUUUCUACUCCAAACAAAACUCUUAUGAACUCACCAACUUAAUUGUUGACACUCUUUCAAAACUACUUGUAUUCUCAGGAAAUCAGUGAAACAGGAAAACUUCAGCGCUUUGAGGAUGGGACGUUAAACCGUCAACAAUUUAUUUUUUGUCAUCAUAAUGUAAUUGAUUUUGAAACAUGUAAGCAUAUACUUUGGUGUAACUUUUUCAAUUAUAUUUAUGAUGGUUGUAUUUACUUUGAACACUAUUAUACACGUUGUUGUGAUACUGUACAUGAAGUCCUCCACCCCCGGACGUUUCCGCCAUCCCAGGUUUGGGGGUGUGACAGGUGAGACCCAUUAUGUAUGUUGGGUGAGGUCUGUAUUGGUUAUAUGGUAUUGUGGGGAACUCAUUAAUUUAUAGCUAUGUGGUUUAAAUGUUUUAGGUACUUUUG